UAGGGAAUCUUCCACAAUGGACGCAAGUCUGAUGGAGCAACGCCGCGUGAGUGAAGAAGGCUUUCGGGUCGUAAAACUCUGUUAUUGAAGAAGAACGUGUGUGACAGUAACUGGUCAUGCAGUGACGGUAUUCAAUCAGAAAGUCACGGCUAACUACGUGCCAGCAGCCGCGGUAAUACGUAGGUGGCAAGCGUUGUCCGGAUUUAUUGGGCGUAAAGCGAGUGCAGGCGGUCUUUUAAGUNUGAUGUGAAAGCCUUCGGCUUAACCGAAGAA
Molecule: ribosomal RNA, 273 nt
Filed under: uncultured bacterium
Lineage: Bacteria
Description: partial 16S ribosomal RNA
Rfam family: Bacterial small subunit ribosomal RNA
Source: RNAcentral